RNAcentral lists this ribosomal RNA (253 nucleotides) under uncultured bacterium. Its description in RNAcentral is "partial 16S ribosomal RNA". It matches the Rfam family "Bacterial small subunit ribosomal RNA", at positions 524 to 776 of the family's 1533-position model. The record is from RNAcentral.
UACGGGGGGGGCAAGCGUUGUUCGGAAUUACUGGGCGUAAAGGGCGCGUAGGCGGCUUACUAAGUCGGACGUGAAAUCCCUCGGCUCAACCGAGGAACUGCGUCCGAUACUGGCAGGCUGGAAUCCGGGAGAGGGAUGUGGAAUUCCAGGUGUAGCGGUGAAAUGCGUAGAGAUGCGGAGGAACACCGAUGGCGAAGGCAGCCCCCUGGGUCGACACUGACGCUCAGGCACGAAAGCGUGGGGAGCAAACAGG